This is a long non-coding RNA of Peromyscus eremicus (cactus mouse), 807 nucleotides long. RefSeq lists it as uncharacterized. The record is from RefSeq and is a predicted model, not a curated record. The transcript is spliced from 2 exons. Lineage: Eukaryota; Metazoa; Chordata; Mammalia; Rodentia; Cricetidae.
CUCUUAAACACCUGCCCACAACUCAGAUGUCACAACCAACCUUGCUCCUCCUAUAAGAUCUAUACAACCCCCUUGCCCAUCUCUUCUCGGCUAGGCACUUCAUUCUAAGUGCAUUUCAGUAAUUUCCUACCCGCCCCCAUCCCAUCCUCACCAUACCACACCGUGCCAACCUCAGCCACAGUGUCCCAACUAAGGGUAUGGCUGAGAGAAACCUCACCAGGCCCUCCCGCUUCCAUAGAAGGGGAUUUUACUGCUCCUGUUGUCAGAGAGAUGCUGUUGUAAAAGAAUUAGAAAUACCUGGUGGUUUCGAAUGGCCCCUGCAGGCUCAAAGGUUUGAAUAUUUGGUCACCAUUGAGUGGUGCUAUUUGAAAGGAUUAGGAGGCGUGGCCUUGUUGGAGGAAGUGUGUCACCUAGGGUGAGCUCUGAGGUUCAAAAAGCUCUUUAGAAGUCCAGAGUCUCUCUCUUCCUGCUGCCUGCUGAUCCAGAUGUAGAACUCUCAGCAACUUCUCCAACACAUGUCUGCCGGCAUGCUGCCAUGAUGACAAUGGACUAAACCUCUGAAACUGGGACUCAGCAAGCAAAUUAAUAAUGCAAUGGGAUGCAAGGGAGAAUCUUUACAACAUGGAGGCAGAAUUUUAAAGUGCGAUUUUAGCGCCUCAGAACCGUCAGCAUGCUGUAUGUACACAACUAUGGUAAUUGUACACAGGAACCAUUUCUUCCUUCCAUCGCCUGCUUAGGCAUCAUCCCUGUAACCUAUUUGUGGUCAUCACUGAACUUGAAAAUAAAAGUUCUUUGAAAAUUCCUCUC